GUGGGGAAUAUUGGACAAUGGGCGAAAGCCUGAUCCAGCCAUGCCGCGUGUGUGAAGAAGGUCUUCGGAUUGUAAAGCACUUUAAGUUGGGAGGAAGGGCAGUAAGUUAAUACCUUGCUGUUUUGACGUUACCGACAGAAUAAGCACCGGCUAACUUCGUGCCAGCAGCCGCGGUAAUACGAAGGGUGCAAGCGUUAAUCGGAAUUACUGGGCGUAAAGGGAGCGUAGGCUGCGCGGUAAGUCAGGUGUGAAAUCCCGGGGCUCAACCCCGGAACUGCACCCGAUGAGGCCGUGCUAGAGGGGUGGAGGGGUGACUGGAAUUCUCGGUGUAGCAGUGAAAUGCGUGGAUAUCGAGAGGAACACUCGUGGCGAAGGCGAGUCACUGGACAACAUCUGACGCUGAGGCUCGAAGGCCAGGGGAGCAAAAGGGAUUAGAUACCCGAGUAGUCC
This 450-nucleotide ribosomal RNA is filed under the name uncultured bacterium. RNAcentral's name for it is "bacterial SSU rRNA". It matches the Rfam family "Bacterial small subunit ribosomal RNA", at positions 354 to 796 of the family's 1533-position model. The record is from RNAcentral.